ACCACAACUCCUGGGGCCACCAACAUCAGUAGAAACAGGUUUUUCAGCAAUAAUUCAAAUCUGAAGACCAAAAGAUGAAUUUAUCCGUUCAUUAGUUUAUUAUUUUGGUCAUGUUCUGACCAUGUUCAACUAAUAAAGUUCUUUUGUUCAUGUUCCACUAACAAUAUCAAAAGAACAAAAUAAUUAAUUUCAAACUAUGAGGAGGGUAAGUGUUAUUUUAUUGUUUUGCAUGUUCAAGUGUUCUAGUGCUUUAUCUGCUCAAGUAAAGCUGUGGACAUCCACAAGACGUGUUGUAAUGAGGGUAUAGCAUGCUGGAUUUUCUUAUCACAUUUAAUUGAGCAGACAAUGCAUGAGGCAGCUUACAUCGACAAUUUUCAAACAUUUUUUUCAACUUUGAUAACUGCGGUUUCUUUAUAUUUUUGGUUUCCUCCCAGGUGAUUCCACUCCAUGUGCAACUGUGUCUAAACCACCUGAUGAAGUACCUAGCUCUGUGCAUUCAAUACAGUUAGAUGAUCCAGUUGUAAAGCAACCAGUGCCCAUUCCUCUAGAGCUGCUGUGUGUUUUUCAGGAGCCAGCUGCAACUCAGCUUGAAGUGUUGUCAACAUUAAGGACAAUAUAUUCUACAACUGCCACUGUGUAUAGGACUCCAUUAAAGCACAAGUCCAAAACAACUG
This is a long non-coding RNA of Erpetoichthys calabaricus (reedfish), 674 nucleotides long. RefSeq lists it as uncharacterized. The transcript has 3 exons. The record is from RefSeq and is a predicted model, not a curated record. NCBI's taxonomy places the organism in Eukaryota, Metazoa, Chordata, Cladistia, Polypteriformes, Polypteridae.